RNAcentral lists this ribosomal RNA (439 nucleotides) under uncultured bacterium. RNAcentral's name for it is "partial 16S ribosomal RNA". It matches the Rfam family "Bacterial small subunit ribosomal RNA", at positions 338 to 795 of the family's 1533-position model. The record is from RNAcentral.
CCUACGGGUGGCAGCAGUGGGGAAUAUUGCACAAUGGGGGAAACCCUGAUGCAGCGACGCCGCGUGAGUGAAGAAGUAUUUCGGUACGUAAAGCUCUAUCAGCAGGGAAGAAAAUGACGGUACCUGACUAAGAAGCAUCGGCUAACUCCGUGCCAGCAGCCGCGGUAAUACGGAGGAUGCGAGCGUUAUCCGGAUUUAUUGGGUUUAAAGGGUGCGCAGGCGGCCUGUUAAGUCAGCGGUAAAAGCCCGGGGCUCAACCCCGGCGAGCCGUUGAAACUGGCGGGCUGGAGUUGGAGAGAAGUACGCGGAAUGCGCGGUGUAGCGGUGAAAUGCUUAGAUAUCGCGCAGAACCCCGAUUGCGAAGGCAGCAUACCGGCGCCCAACUGACGCUGAAGCACGAAAGCGUGGGUAUCGAACAGGAUUAGAUACCCGUGUAGUC